Molecule: ribosomal RNA, 451 nt
Filed under: uncultured bacterium
Lineage: Bacteria
Description: partial 16S ribosomal RNA
Rfam family: Bacterial small subunit ribosomal RNA
Source: RNAcentral
GUGGGGAAUAUUGGACAAUGGGCGCAAGCCUGAUCCAGCCAUGCCGCGUGUGUGAAGAAGGCCUUUUGGUUGUAAAGCACUUUAAGCGAGGAGGAGGCUACUUGGAUUAAUACUCUAGGAUAGUGGACGUUACUCGCAGAAUAAGCACCGGCUAACUCUGUGCCAGCAGCCGCGGUAAUACAGAGGGUGCGAGCGUUAAUCGGAUUUACUGGGCGUAAAGCGUGCGUAGGCGGCUUUUUAAGUCGGAUGUGAAAUCCCUGAGCUUAACUUAGGAAUUGCAUUCGAUACUGGGAAGCUAGAGUAUGGGAGAGGAUGGUAGAAUUCCAGGUGUAGCGGUGAAAUGCGUAGAGAUCUGGAGGAAUACCGAUGGCGAAGGCAGCCAUCUGGCCUAAUACUGACGCUGAGGUACGAAAGCAUGGGGAGCAAACAGGAUUAGAAACCCGGGUAGUCC